Molecule: long non-coding RNA, 644 nt
Filed under: Heterocephalus glaber (naked mole-rat)
Lineage: Eukaryota; Metazoa; Chordata; Mammalia; Rodentia; Bathyergidae
Description: lncRNA (ENSHGLG00000029462.2)
Source: RNAcentral
AGUGGCUGAGGGGUUAGGGACAUGGAGAACUGAAAGCCCUUGAAUUUGUGUAGGAGUGGCAUUAUUUCUUCCUUAAAUAUUUGAAAGAUUUCACCAUCUGGACCUGAAGUUUUCAUUGUGGGGAUCAUCAUCAUCAUCAUCAUCAUCAUCAUCAUCAUCAUCAUCAUCAAUAAGAGCAGAGUGGGGUCUUGCUUUGAGCAUGGUGAAAAUGGGUCGUUUGCUGAAAAGUUGCAUGAGUGACCGAACCUCUGCGACUGAGAGCCGACACAGGCCUUGUCCCGAUCAUCACCUCCCUGCCCCAGAGGAGACUGGAUUGUGCAGGACUCCUGGCCAUUCUGAUCUAGGAGACAGGGCGUGGCAAAACUGGCUGGGGAAACUGUCAAUCACCAGUUCCCAGGUAACUUGAAGACCCAUAUGUGGAACUUCCCACAAGCCUUCACGCAGUGUGGACAGCGUAAAAAGGACUGGCUCUCACAGAAAGCCUAUCGUGCGUGAGUUUGCACAGUAGCCUGGCGUGUCUGAUAGCGGCGUGUACUUCUAUUUUUGCUUUUACCGUCUUUUUCUUUUUGUCCGGCCCAAGCUUGCUCUGCAGAGCUGAUUUCUCCUAUACCCUUUUACCCCACACUUUUCAAAUAAACUUUUUG